GUGGUCUCCAAGUAAGAACAGUUGUUCUCCAGAAUGAGAAAUUGGCAAUGUCAUGCUGACAAAGAGUGGGGAGUCCCUAGGUAAAAUAGUAUAAACCUCAUCACCCAAGGCCAGUUCUUCUCCUGGCCACGAAAGGGGAAGCGCUGCCCCUCACAAAGCCCUAUAUGCCUCAUUCAGGGAGGGAGAAAAGCAGUCCCUCUUGAGACCUGUUUCCAUGGUAACCGGUGAGCAAUUGACAAUGUGGCUGUAGUUGGGCCUCCUUGAAGGGGAAAAAUCUUCAACAGGAACCAGGCCACUGAGAGAUGGAAGAAAGGACAGCUCUUACCCAAACCUCAUGAGGAGGCUACCGGAAUCACCGGACAGUUCCUUUAUUGGGAAAACCCCCAGCGACUUUCCAAUGAAAUGGAGAAGGGAAAAGAGACCCUUCGGAAUCAGAUGAGUCCAUGAACCGGCAGCAGUCAGGGCAGUGGUGACAUCACAGAAGGAGCAUGGGCCUUAGACAGUCAUUACCCUUUAGAAUCCUUGCAGCUUUGAGCAAGUUCAUGAAUCUCACUAAAGCUCAGUUUCCUCCAUAGAAUUAAGCAAUAUCAGAGCCUCUGCACUGGACAACUCCAGAGGGCACCAUUGGGGUUAUAUUUUAUGUUUGCCUAACCUUCACUGCAGUGAGUAGAGAUCCCAGAGCACCACCCAUGAUGCCAGGCUGGAGGAAGCAGCAGGCUAGAGGAAUUCAGGACAGACGAGCCAGGAAAGAGUUCUCACCUAGGACCCAAUGCAGAGCUCACAUCCCACCCUCCUUUCCCCAUGACAAAGCACUGGCAAACCCUGCCAAAGAAGACGCUUGGCUGCAAAGCAGUUUGGAACUGGACCCAGGAGCUCACCACCACAGGGAGUGCUGCACUUUGACUGGACAGAAUGCAUCCUCCCUGCCCACAGAGCAUGUGCCCAGGAUGAAUCUCACUGUAUCCCAGUUCCCCAUGAUGGGCCCCAAACCUCUUUUUCACAGUAAUAAAGAAAACACACUUUACAAAAAGGCAGUUCAUCUAUGAACAUAUUGGCUAGGAUAACACAUCUUAGAGCUAAAUGUGUCACUGUAAAUGGACUCAUUUUAUAUCUCCACAUACUGUAGAUGUUUAAAAAAAGGUACAUGCACAGAAACUAUGGGAACUGAACUGGAGUAUGAGCCAAUUACCCUAGACUUUGCUGUAAUCUGACUUUUGUGUAGCAUAUUUUCUUUCUCUAACAUUUUCCUUGAUGGGGGAUGGGGAGUGGAGGCAAAGGAGACAAACUGACAGCAGGGCAUUUUAUUUAGACCAAAGGAAAUAUAUUCAGCCUAUCUUAAAUUAUUUGUCAUCAUCAUGACAUUUUCUAAUUUGAAAGUAUUUUGCUUGAUAAUAUAUAAUUGAAUAUUAUAUGCAAUUAAUCAUGUCAUCAUAG
RNAcentral lists this long non-coding RNA (1434 nucleotides) under Macaca mulatta (Rhesus monkey). RNAcentral's name for it is "lncRNA (ENSMMUG00000039311.2)". The record is from RNAcentral. Lineage: Eukaryota; Metazoa; Chordata; Mammalia; Primates; Cercopithecidae.